GAUGAACGCUGGCGGCGUGCCUAAUACAUGCAAGUCGAGCGAACAGACGAGGAGCUUGCUCCUCUGACGUUAGCGGCGGACGGGUGAGUAACACGUGGAUAACCUACCUAUAAGACUGGGAUAACUUCGGGAAACCGGAGCUAAUACCGGAUAAUAUAUUGAACCGCAUGGUUCAAUAGUGAAAGACGGUUUUGCUGUCACUUAUAGAUGGAUCCGCGUCGCAUUAGCGAGUUGGUAAGGUAACGGCUGACCAAGGCAACGGUGCGUAGCCGACCUGAGAGGGUGAUGGGCCACACUGGAACGGGGACACGGUCCAGACUCCUAGGGGAGGCAGCAGUAGGGAAUCAUCCGCAAGGGGCGAAAGCCUGACGGAGCAACGCCGCGUGAGUGAUGAAGGUCUUCGGAUCGUAAAACUCUGUUAUUAGGGAAGAACAAAUGUGUAAGUAACUAUGCACGUCUUGACGGUACCUAAUCAGAAAGCCACGGCUAACUACGUG
This 497-nucleotide ribosomal RNA is filed under the name uncultured bacterium. Its description in RNAcentral is "partial 16S ribosomal RNA". It matches the Rfam family "Bacterial small subunit ribosomal RNA", at positions 28 to 507 of the family's 1533-position model. The record is from RNAcentral.